UCCCUGAUACCGCCUACGCCCCGCCCCUCGCCGGCCCCGCCCUCGCUCCGCCUGCGCAGGCGCAAUUUCCCGCAAACCCGGAAGCGGAGGGAGGGGCGCAGCCCUUGGUUUUUAUGUCACGACUGGGUAUUUUAGACGCCCCUCACGCCCCGGAUCCGCCACAUCCAAGGUUCAGGGGUCGUCAAUUACGUUAAGAUCCCCUUCAUCCACUCGUCCGCCCUCGCCGCGCUGUGCAAAGCUCUCACUCCCGGGGUGGAUUCUCUUCUGCCGCUUGGCCAUGUAUACCCGGAGGCCACAUCUUCUCCUCUGCCUCGGGGUCGUGCAGACAUCACCCCUCUCCUGACAGCUUCCAUAUCUACGUAGCCUCAGGAGUCGGCCCCUUCCCUCCGUAG
This is a long non-coding RNA of Bos indicus x Bos taurus (hybrid cattle), 392 nucleotides long. The record is from Ensembl. Lineage: Eukaryota; Metazoa; Chordata; Mammalia; Artiodactyla; Bovidae.